RNAcentral lists this ribosomal RNA (484 nucleotides) under uncultured bacterium. RNAcentral's name for it is "partial 16S ribosomal RNA". It matches the Rfam family "Bacterial small subunit ribosomal RNA", at positions 28 to 507 of the family's 1533-position model. The record is from RNAcentral.
AUUGAACGCUGGCGGCAUGCUUUACACAUGCAAGUCGAACGGCAGCGCGGGCUUCGGCCUGGCGGCGAGUGGCGAACGGGUGAGUAAUGCAUCGGAACGUGCCCAGUAGUGGGGGAUAGCCCGGCGAAAGCCGGAUUAAUACCGCAUACGACCUGAGGGUGAAAGCGGGGGACCGAAAGGCCUCGCGCUAUUGGAGCGGCCGAUGUCGGAUUAGCUAGUUGGUGGGGUAAAGGCUUACCAAGGCGACGAUCCGUAGCUGGUCUGAGAGGACGACCAGCCACACUGGGACUGAGACACGGCCCAGACUCCUACGGGAGGCAGCAGUAGGGAAUUUUGGGCAAUGGGGGCAAGCCUGAUCCAGCCAUGCCGCGUGCGGGAAGAAGGCCUUCGGGUUGUAAACCGCUUUUGUUCGGGAAGAAAUCCUCUGGGCUAAUACCCCGGGGGGAUGACGGUACCGGAAGAAUAAGCACCGGCUAACUACGUG